CGUAGGGAGCAAGCGUUGUCCGGAAUCAUUGGGCGUAAAGCGCGCGUAGGCGGCCUCGUAAGUCCGUUGUGAAAGUCAAAGGCUCAACCUUUGAAAGCCGAUGGAUACUGUGAGGCUAGAGUCCGGAAGAGGCGAGUGGAAUUCCUGGUGUAGCGGUGGAAUGCGCAGAUAUCAGGAGGAACACCAAUAGCGAAGGCAGCUCGCUGGGACGGUACUGACGCUAAAGCGCGAAAGCGUGGGGAGCGAACAGGAUUAGAUACCCUGGUAGUCCACGCCGUAAACGAUGGGCACUAGGUGUGGGAGGUGUCGACUCCUCCCGUGCCGUCGCUAACGCACUAAGUGCCCCGCCUGGGGAGUACGGCCGCAAGGCUA
This 372-nucleotide ribosomal RNA is filed under the name uncultured organism. RNAcentral's name for it is "bacterial SSU rRNA". It matches the Rfam family "Bacterial small subunit ribosomal RNA", at positions 526 to 896 of the family's 1533-position model. The record is from RNAcentral.